RNAcentral lists this long non-coding RNA (268 nucleotides) under Glycine max (soybean). RNAcentral describes it as "long non-coding RNA (GMAX_LNC003942)". Lineage: Eukaryota; Viridiplantae; Streptophyta; Magnoliopsida; Fabales; Fabaceae. The record is from RNAcentral.
GUGAUUUAGUCCAAUUACUCACGUUCUGGACUCUGAUCCAGACAUGCACUUCAUCUAUCUGACUGUUGUUAACACUUGGAUGUUUCUCCAGUCCUCACUCUCUCUCUUUCUCUCUGUCCAUCAACUCCAUGACUCUUUCAGGACACCAUAUCCAUCAUCAACUUCGUCACUCUUGGUAAAAGCCAUCUUGCACCUCUUUCUUUCUCUCAUCAACACGGCUUCCAUGUUCUUCUACCUCUAACUUCACAUUAGGUCUGUUCUGUUUCUG